Molecule: long non-coding RNA, 244 nt
Filed under: Zonotrichia albicollis (white-throated sparrow)
Lineage: Eukaryota; Metazoa; Chordata; Aves; Passeriformes; Passerellidae
Description: lncRNA (ENSZALG00000009895.1)
Source: RNAcentral
CUACCCACAAUGAGGACAGCAACAGACUGGUAGACAAGAACUGGAAAAGACCUAUAUGGAGCUGCUCAGCCUUGGAGGUUCAUGGCUAUUGGAAUCUGCAAUACAAACCCAGGAAACAGACCUCACAUCAAGGAUAAUCAAAGCAUUUCUUAGUGAUCUCUGUGACACCAGGAGGUGGUGAGCUGAGAAAGACUCAGGAAUCCGAAUAAUACUGAAAAUUACCUGAGAUUCCAUGCCAGUAAAG